This 499-nucleotide unclassified non-coding RNA is filed under the name uncultured marine bacterium. Its description in RNAcentral is "partial contains 16S ribosomal RNA, 16S-23S ribosomal RNA intergenic spacer, and 23S ribosomal RNA". The stretch from base 184 to 257 matches the Rfam family "tRNA". The record is from RNAcentral.
ACCCUUGACCACGGUAUAGUCAGCGACUGGGGUGAAGUCGUAACAAGGUAGCCGUAGGGGAACCUGCGGCUGGAUUACCUCCUUUCUAAGGAUGAAUGAAAGUAAAAUUUCAUUCUAAAUAAUAUACAUCGGUAAUGUUGACCGUCCUCAUUUCUCUUCUUAAAGUAAUGUUUCCUUCUUGUAGGGCCGGUAGCUCAGUUGGUUAGAGCACACCCUUGAUAAGGGUGGGGUCGAAAGUUCGAGUCUUUCUCGGCCCACCACACUUAACUGGGGGAUUAGCUCAGCUGGGAGAGCGCCUGAUUUGCAUUCAGGAGGUCAGCGGUUCGAUCCCGCUAUCCUCCACCAGGAAACGUUUAGUUAUAAAAACUGUAAAUAAAUUUAAUAAUUAAUAUCAAUAUCUAUAUCCGAACAUUAGUAAUGUUAUUAGCUAAUGUUCAAAAUAAAAAUUUGAUUCAACACAGAAUUUUUUUCUGUGCAUAAAUCAAGCGUUUAAGGGCGU